AGAACGAACGCUGGCGGCAGGCUUAACACAUGCAAGUCGAACGCUCGUAGCAAUACGGGAGUGGCAGACGGGUGAGUAACACGUGGGAACAUCCCCCUCGGUUCGGAAUAACUCAGGGAAACUUGAGCUAAUACCGGAUACGUCCGAGAGGAGAAAGAUUUAUCGCCGAGGGAUUGGCCCGCGUCUGAUUAGCUAGUUGGUGAGGUAACGGCCCACCAAGGCGACGAUCAGUAGCUGGUCUGAGAGGAUGACCAGCCACACUGGGACUGAGACACGGCCCAGACUCCUACGGGAGGCAGCAGUGGGGAAUCUUGGACAAUGGGCGCAAGCCUGAUCCAGCCAUGCCGCGUGAGUGAUGAAGGCCUUAGGGUUGUAAAGCUCUUUCGACGGGACGAUAAUGACGGUACCCGUAGAAGAACGCCCGGCUAACUUCGUGCCAGCAGCCGC
Molecule: ribosomal RNA, 447 nt
Filed under: uncultured bacterium
Lineage: Bacteria
Description: SSU rRNA
Rfam family: Bacterial small subunit ribosomal RNA
Source: RNAcentral